Molecule: ribosomal RNA, 526 nt
Filed under: uncultured bacterium
Lineage: Bacteria
Description: bacterial SSU rRNA
Rfam family: Bacterial small subunit ribosomal RNA
Source: RNAcentral
ACAUCCAGAGAACUUGGCAGAGAUGCCUUGGUGCCUUCGGGACCUCUGAGACAGGUGCUGCAUGGCUGUCGUCAGCUCGUGUUGUGAAAUGUUGGGUUAAGUCCCGNAACGAGCGCAACCCCUAUCCUUUGUUGCCAGCGAUUCGGUCGGGAAACUCAAAGGAGACUGCCGGUGAUAAACCGGAGGAAGGUGGGGAUGACGUCAAGUCAUCAUGGCCCUUACGAGUAGGGCUACACACGUGCUACAAUGGCGCAUACAAAGAGAAGCGACCUCGCGAGAGCAAGCGGACCUCAUAAAGUGCGUCGUAGUCCGGAUCGGAGUCUGCAACUCGACUCCGUGAAGUCGGAAUCGCUAGUAAUCGUAGAUCAGAAUGCUACGGUGAAUACGUUCCCGGGCCUUGUACACACCGCCCGUCACACCAUGGGAGUGGGUUGCAAAAGAAGUAGAUAGCUUAACCUUCGGGAGGGCGUUUACCACUUUGUGAUUCAUGACUGGGGUGAAGUCGUAACAAGGUAAGCGUAGCGAG